This is a long non-coding RNA of Zophobas morio, 609 nucleotides long. RefSeq lists it as uncharacterized. The record is from RefSeq and is a predicted model, not a curated record. The transcript has 3 exons. NCBI's taxonomy places the organism in Eukaryota, Metazoa, Arthropoda, Insecta, Coleoptera, Tenebrionidae.
UACAGACAUGCAGAUGGUAGGGUCAGAACACCUGCACAGAAAGUAGCAGCUAAAACAGGCAAAAUGGGUGCGUUUUUCAAGGACCUUGCACUCGCAGUGAAGAGAAUGAAACCAGAGACGUUCGACAGAUUGAAGGAAGCCAUCGGGGAUCUUAUCGUUGAUGCGGAAAUUGAAGAAGCCAAGAAGAAUGAAGAAACAAGUGUUGCGUCGUCCAGCUAAGUUUUAAUUUUCCAAGAUGGCGCAGACUUGGAAGACAGACGAUUUGGAAUCACAAAAAAGAAAAAAGGAAGAAUACGUUCACCCCGUGGACUUAUUUUUCUAUGACGUUUCACGAACGAUAAAAAAAUUUAAGCCGGAAACUAUCGACAGGUUAAAAAAGGCGAUGGCGAGACUUGUCACGGAUGCAAAGUAUGAAGAAAAGCCGGGAAAAGUGAAAGUUGAAAACGACGAAACACAGGGAACUAUAAAAGAUGAAAUUGAAAUAGUGCAACACGAGGUAAAAGCAGAGUUUGAAGAAAUUUAAAUGUCAAAUAUGGAUAUGAUUUUGGCUGGAUUUUGUAUUUGAUAUUAAUCUUAUAAUAAAAUGUAAUUGUUCAAAUAAAUAAUUCA